This 498-nucleotide ribosomal RNA is filed under the name uncultured bacterium. RNAcentral describes it as "partial 16S ribosomal RNA". It matches the Rfam family "Bacterial small subunit ribosomal RNA", at positions 30 to 523 of the family's 1533-position model. The record is from RNAcentral.
AUUGAACGCUGGCGGAAUGCUUUACACAUGCAAGUCGAACGGCAGCGCGGGGCAACCUGGUGGCGAGUGGCGAACGGGUGAGUAAUACAUCGGAACGUGCCCAAUCGUGGGGGAUAACGUAGCGAAAGUUACGCUAAUACCGCAUACGAUCUACGGAUGAAAGCGGGGGAUCGCAAGACCUCGCGCGAAUGGAGCGGCCGAUGUCAGAUUAGGUAGUUGGUGGGGUAAAGGCUCACCAAGCCGACGAUCUGUAGCUGGUCUGAGAGGACGACCAGCCACACUGGGACUGAGACACGGCCCAGACUCCUACGGGAGGCAGCAGUGGGGAAUUUUGGACAAUGGGCGCAAGCCUGAUCCAGCCAUUCCGCGUGCAGGAUGAAGGCCUUCGGGUUGUAAACUGCUUUUGUACGGAACGAAACGGUGAGCUCUAAUACCCUGUGCGGAUGACGGUACCGGCAUAAGAAGCACCGGCUAACUACGUGCCAGCCGCCGCAGUAA